RNAcentral lists this ribosomal RNA (432 nucleotides) under uncultured bacterium. RNAcentral's name for it is "partial 16S ribosomal RNA". It matches the Rfam family "Bacterial small subunit ribosomal RNA", at positions 29 to 506 of the family's 1533-position model. The record is from RNAcentral.
AACGAACGCUGGCGGCAUGCCUAACACAUGCAAGUCGAACGAGCCCUUCGGGUCUAGUGGCGCCCGGGUUCGUAAGGCGUGGGGACCUGACCUUAGGGUCGGAAUAACUCCCCGAAUGGGGUGCUAAUACCGGAUCGUGUCUUCGGCCCGAAGAUUUAUCGCCUAGUGAUGGGCCAGAGUUAGAUUAGGUAGUAGGUAGGGUAAAAGCCUACCAAGGCGACGAUCCAUAGCUGGUAUGAGAGGAUGAUCAGCAACACUGGGACUGGGACACGGCCCAGACUCCUAGGAGAGGCAGCAGGGGGGAAGAUGGGACAAUGGGCGAAUGCCGAAGCCAUCAAGGCCGCGUGAGUGAGUAAGUCCGUAGGGACGUAAAUCUCUUUUACCCGGGAUGAUAAUGACGGAACCGGGAAAAUAAGCACCGGCUAACUCCGG